UGUAUAAUGGGUCAGCGACUUAUAUUCUGUAGCAAGGUUAACCGAAUAGGGGAGCCGGAGGGAAACCGAGUCUUAACCGGGCGUUAAGUUGCAGGGUAUAGACCCGAAACCCGGUGAUCUAGCCAUGGGCAGGUUGAAGGUUGGGUAACACUAACUGGAGGACCGAACCGACUAAUGUUGAAAAAUUAGCGGAUGACCUGUGGCUGGGGGUGAAAGGCCAAUCAAACCGGGAGAUAGCUGGUUCUCCCCGAAAGCUAUUUAGGUAGCGCCUCGUGAAUUCAUCUCCGGGGGUAGAGCACUGUUUCGGCUAGGGGGCCAUCCCGGCUUACCAACCCGAUGCAAACUGCGAAUACCGGAGAAUGUUAUCACGGGAGACACACGGCGGGUGCUAACGUCCGUCGUGAAGAGGGAAACAACCCAGACCGCCAGCUAAGGUCCCAAAGUCAUGGUUAAGUGGGAAACGAUGUGGGAAGGCCCAGACAGCCAGGAUGUUGGCUUAGAAGCAGCCAUCAUUUAAAGAAAGCGUAAUAGCUCACUGGUCGAGUCGGCCUGCGCGGAAGAUGUAACGGGGCUAAACCAU
This 580-nucleotide ribosomal RNA is filed under the name Salmonella enterica. Its description in RNAcentral is "partial 23S ribosomal RNA". It matches the Rfam family "Bacterial large subunit ribosomal RNA", at positions 609 to 1190 of the family's 2925-position model. The record is from RNAcentral. Lineage: Bacteria; Pseudomonadati; Pseudomonadota; Gammaproteobacteria; Enterobacterales; Enterobacteriaceae.